CCUACGGGAGGCAGCAGUAGGGAAUUUUCGGCAAUGGGGGGAAGCCUGACCGAGCAACGCCGCGUGAGCGAAGAAGGUAUUCGGACUGUAAAGUUCUGUUAACAGGGAAGAAAGAGAAAUUUGACGGUACCUGGUGAAUAAGCUGCGGCUAAAUACGUGACAGCAGCCGCGGUAAUGCGUAGGGAGCGAGCGUUAUCAGGAAUGAUUGGGCGAAAGGGGUGCGUAGAUGGCAGAGUAAGUCUUGGGUAAAACUGCGGGGAUAAACCCAGUAGGGCAAAAGAUACUGCAAAUCUAGAGUAUGAGAGAGGCAAGUGGAACUACAGGUGUAGCGGUAAAAUGCGUAAAUAUAUGUAAGAACACCAGUGGCGAAGGCGACUUGCUGGCUCGUUACUGACGUUGAGGCACGAAAGCGUGGGGAGCAAACAGGAUUAGAUACCCGUGUAGUC
This 446-nucleotide ribosomal RNA is filed under the name uncultured bacterium. RNAcentral's name for it is "partial 16S ribosomal RNA". It matches the Rfam family "Bacterial small subunit ribosomal RNA", at positions 338 to 795 of the family's 1533-position model. The record is from RNAcentral.